Molecule: ribosomal RNA, 420 nt
Filed under: uncultured eukaryote
Lineage: Eukaryota
Description: bacterial SSU rRNA
Rfam family: Eukaryotic small subunit ribosomal RNA
Source: RNAcentral
CAAUAGCGUAUAUUAAAGUUGUUGCAGUUAAAAAGCUCGUAGUCGGAUUUCGGGUCGGGCCGAGCGGUCUGCCGAUGGGUAUGCACUGUUUGGCGCGGCCUUCUUUCCGGAGACCGCGGCUACUCUUAACUGAGCGGGCGUGGGAGACGGAUCGUUUACUUUGAAAAAUCAGAGUGUUUCUAGCAGGCAGCUCGCUCUUGCAUAGGUUAGCAUGGAAUAAUAAGAUAGGACUUUGGAACUAUUUUGUUGGUUUGCGUUACAAAGUAAUGAUUAAUAGGGACAGUUGGGGGUAUUCGUAUUUCGUUGUCAGAGGUGAAAUUCUUGGAUUUCCGAAAGACGAACUACUGCGAAAGCAUUUACCAAGGAUGUUUUCAUUAAUCAAGAACGAAAGUUAGGGGAUCGAAGACGAUCAGAUACCAU